GACGAACGCUGGCGGCGUGCCUAAUACAUGCAAGUCGAGCGAGUCUGCCUUGAAGAUCGGAGUGCUUGCACUCUGUGAAACAAGAUACAGGCUAGCGGCGGACGGGUGAGUAACACGUGGGUAACCUGCCCAAGAGAUCGGGAUAACACCUGGAAACAGAUGCUAAUACCGGAUAACAACAGAUGAUGCCUAUCAACUGUUUAAAAGAUGGUUCUGCUAUCACUCUUGGAUGGACCUGCGGUGCAUUAGCUAGUUGGUAGGGUAACGGCCUACCAAGGCGACGAUGCAUAGCCGACUUGAGAGACUGAUCGGCCACACUGGGACUGAGACACGGCCCAAACUCCUACGGGAGGCAGCAGUAGGGAAUCUUCCACAAUGGACGCAAGCCUGAUGGAGCAACGCCGCGUGAGUGAAGAAGGGUUUCGGCUCGUAAAGCUCUGUUGUUGGUGAAGAAGGACAGUGGUAGUAACUGACCUUUGUUUGACGGUACUCAAUUAGAAAGUCACGGCUAACUACGUG
This 519-nucleotide ribosomal RNA is filed under the name uncultured bacterium. RNAcentral describes it as "partial 16S ribosomal RNA". It matches the Rfam family "Bacterial small subunit ribosomal RNA", at positions 28 to 507 of the family's 1533-position model. The record is from RNAcentral.